GGAGCAAUAAAAAUGAGGUCAAAGAAGGAAAGACGCUCUGGAAAUCGUGUACAGGUGCGACCACAGGAGACCAAUGGCUGUAUGGCUGUCACAUCCUUAUGGAAAAGCGGCAGCCCCUGCCAUCAUGAGGGAAAGGAAAGAUUCGAUGCGUUUAGUGCUUCAGCGUCACGCGCUAGCAGACGUCAGAGGAUCAAAGUUGCCGCCCAGCUAUAAAAUAGGGAACUGCCGAGUGCAUCUCAAGCAGACUGCUGUCAAUGUCGCUUAAGUGACUCCCGUCAACACUCGCCGGUUUUGUUGCGUCAGUGUGGCGUUGAGCGAAGACGACGUUAGGUCAGCCCCGUGCACUUCAGAACUCGUGGAUUGGACUCGUUGUUACCACAGUCUAAACUCGAGGCCUAUCCCACGUAAGAUCUAGCGUCGCAAGUGUACCGGGCAAGCUGACUGUAAAGAUGAGAACUGUACUGCCGCUUGAGGCGUUCUAUGCUGGCGAAGAUGUGCAUUCUGGUGAGUGAGAGAUUCUGCCGCAUUCAUGCCUGUUUUUGGGGUCUCGGCUGUACCCUACACGUGAUAAGCUCGCCAUUCGAAGUUGAAGAGAAGCUAGCAUACCAUCUGAACUUUGCGCCCUUUCUGACGUCUACGUCUGUUUACAGUCUUGUAUUUAUUGGAGAUCACAGCGUUUUUAUCGCUUGGACGCAUAUCAGGCACGCGAAGCUAAUAGCCUAUAUCGGUCAGCUUGCUCCUCAUGCAAAAAGGCAGACGCGACGCGGCAGCUGGCUUGUACGUAACUGCACUUUUCUCUACCCUUACACACGCUAGCGGAGACGUAGGUGAAGCGAACGCACAACAAAUACCUGCGAAACGAAUAUGUCACCAUCGUGUACGCAUUUCGAGGUGCUGUGGUACGAGCAUCACCGUUGAGCAUGGGAGUAACCGAACUCAGUGAACAGAAUCUGAACGGCAUUAAUUUUAGGUAGAGCAGUCACGGGAGAAAAUCGCUAUAACGCUCAAGGAUUGUCAGAAGGCGUGUGCACUACAAGGCAUUUCUCCGCACCGUACACACUCCUCUCCUGCCUUCGAAGACCGUUUAAAGGAGGGGAGAUAACGUUACUGUGUGGAAACAAGACCAAGACAAGGUGCUCUUGGUGACAUUUGGUCUCGUUGCUAAAGAUUCGUUGACACUAUAUGCUGUUGGUGUCUAGCUGUAUCAGAGCAGGUUGAUUGAUGGUUUCCAGC
This 1233-nucleotide long non-coding RNA is filed under the name Toxoplasma gondii VEG. The record is from RNAcentral. Lineage: Eukaryota; Apicomplexa; Conoidasida; Eucoccidiorida; Sarcocystidae.